Oncorhynchus keta (chum salmon) is the source of this 2111-nucleotide long non-coding RNA. RefSeq lists it as uncharacterized. The record is from RefSeq and is a predicted model, not a curated record. The transcript is spliced from 2 exons. NCBI's taxonomy places the organism in Eukaryota, Metazoa, Chordata, Actinopteri, Salmoniformes, Salmonidae.
GAUCCUACAGUAGAUCAGCAGGUCUGAACUGAUCCUACAGUAGAUCAGCAGGUCUGAACUGAUCCUACAGUAGAUCAGCAGGUCUGAACUGAUCCUACAGUAGAUCAGCAGGUCUGAACUGAUCCUACAGUAGAUCAGCAGGUCUGAACUGAUCCUACAGUAGAUCAGCAGGUCUGAACUGAUCCUACAGUAGAUCAGCAGGUCUGAACUGAUCCUACAGUAGAUCGGCAGGUCUGAACUGAUCCUACAGCAGAUCGGCAGGUCUAAACUGAUCCUACAGCAGAUCGGCAGGUCUGAACUGAUCCUACAGUAGAUCGGCAGGUCUGAACUGAUCCUACAGUAGAUCGGCAGGUCUGAACUGAUCCUACAGUAGAUCGGCAGGUCUAAACUGAUCCUACAGUAGAUCGGCAGGUCUAAACUGAUCCUACAGUAGAUCGGCAGGUCUAAACUGAUCCUACAGUAGAUCGGCAGGUCUAAACUGAUCCUACAGUAGAUCGGCAGGUCUAAACUGAUCCUACAGUAGAUCGGCAGGUCUAAACUGAUCCUACAGUAGAUCGGCAGGUCUAAACUGAUCCUACAGUAGAUCGGCAGGUCUAAACUGAUCCUACAGCAGAUCGGCAGGUCUAAACUGAUCCUACAGUAGAUCGGCAGGUCUAAACUGAUCCUACAGUAGAUCGGCAGGUCGACUAUGAGAUGCUUUAUAAAUAUACGGCUUUAUAAAUAUUGUCUUUGUAAAAUAACCUUUAAGUGUUUCAUCGAUUUCAGACCUGUGAUGUUUUGUAUCCAGUUCAUGUUUCUGUCUCCUGCUGUGUUAGUUGUCAGUCUGGCAGGGCAGUCUGGCAAGGCAGUCUGGCAAGGCAGCCGUGUCGUUCUCCUGUUUUAGAUGAGUCGGUAGUACGAUAACAAUACAACAGUGUGUGCAUAGCAACAACUUACUUUUCAUAAACCCCCCCCCCAAAGAAAAGCCAAUUCCUCCGGAGAACGAAAGCAGCAUAUUAGGAUAACAUUGAGUUAGGAUGUUUGUUUGUUUGUUGUAAACAUUAUGUUGUGAGCUGUUUUCAAAAUGAAGUUCUGAUUCAAACUGAAAACAUGUCAAAUGUGGUGUGUUUUGUUUUGAUAGUCCAGAUGAAUAUAUUCAGUCUAAAACCUACACCAAUAUAAAUAUUGACCUGAUGAUGAUACUGUUUUUAUAUGAAUGAUGUGCUUUACAUACUGAUUAGUGCUGCUAAGCUUUGCUUCAGCUAAAUGUUUAUUUUAUUUGUAAUCAUCACACUGACCUCAAGGGUUGGUCUGAUCUAGUUGGCUUUAGGACGGGUGUUUAUGUGUUGGACAUACAGGGGCCAGUUUCCCAGACAUACAGGGGUCGGUUUCCCAGACAUACAGGGGCCAGUUUCCCAGACAUACAGGGGUCGGUUUCCCAGACCCAGGUUAAGCUUAUUCCUGGACUGAAAAGAACUUUAAACUUUUUUUUAAAAUUCUCAAUUGAGAAUGCUUUUUUUUCUUAGAAGUGGCUUAACCUUUUGUCUGAGUAAACAGACCCAAACUGUAGCACCCUGUUUAGUCCUGACUUCUAUUUUAGUCAAAUAUUCCCAUUGACAUCAAUGCAAACUGAUGAGUGAAAAUGUGAAAAUGCGCAUCCUCCCUUUUCAAAUAUUCCCAUUGACAUCAAUGCAAACUGAUGACAAUCCUCCCUUUUCAAAGAAGACAUGCCCUUGAGGAACAAAUGAUUGAAUAUGUACAUGUACCACAUUGUUGUUGAUGAAUUAGCUGAUUCUUCUAGGCAGUGAGUAAGACCUGUGGAAACAAAAAUCCUUUAGAGAUCUCAACGGAAGUUAGUUUAAACUAGGCUGCAAUAAUUUAGUGACAAAAUGAAACGAGUCACCUCACUUGGUCAUGGUUUUAAAAUGUUUUUCUCUGACCUGUGUCAUGUAUAUGGAGCUGUACAGCUUUAACAUAAUAGUGGAGAACUCCCAGCCAAUAGUAUCAGCCUCUCAGGGUUGAAGGUCACUGAUAUGCAAAUGAGCUGUAUGUUCCUGUUCUGACUUGUGCCUGCUGUGCACCCUGUUAUUUCACCAUGCUUGUGUAUUGAUAAACAUUUAAAAGUAGUAGCA